UAUCUCUGUGAGGAAGAUGACGGAGUGAUGAUGAUGAUGAUGAUGCCGGUGUUCCCGCCAGUGUGAGCUGCCGGUGCUGAUGCUGAGGAUGGGCGGGAGACAGUGUCGCGCGCCCCCGCCGCCCGCUGAGGAUGAGGAGGUUUGCUUUGACCACUUUCAGAUUCUCAGAGCCAUUGGGAAGGGAAGCUUUGGGAAGGUGUGUAUCGUGCAGAAGAGAGACUCCGGCAAGAUGUACGCCAUGAAAUACACAAACAAGCAGAAGUGCAUCGAGAGAGACGAGAUCAGGAACAUCCUGAGAGAACAACAGCUGAUGAAGACGCUGGAGCACCCAUACCUCAUCAAC
Danio aesculapii is the source of this 343-nucleotide long non-coding RNA. RefSeq lists it as uncharacterized. Lineage: Eukaryota; Metazoa; Chordata; Actinopteri; Cypriniformes; Danionidae. The transcript has 3 exons. The record is from RefSeq and is a predicted model, not a curated record.